GGCUGGAUGGCACAGUUGGUUAGGCGCUGGCUUUAUACGUCCGAGUUUGCGGGUUCGAUCCCCGCUCCAGUCA
This is a non-coding RNA of Trichonephila clavata, 73 nucleotides long. The record is from the annotation of a GenBank genome assembly. NCBI's taxonomy places the organism in Eukaryota, Metazoa, Arthropoda, Arachnida, Araneae, Nephilidae.